RNAcentral lists this long non-coding RNA (122 nucleotides) under Oncorhynchus kisutch (coho salmon). Its description in RNAcentral is "lncRNA (ENSOKIG00005012176.1)". The record is from RNAcentral. Lineage: Eukaryota; Metazoa; Chordata; Actinopteri; Salmoniformes; Salmonidae.
UCUCCAGUCCCUAGCUACUACCCUUCUCGUUCUCUCUCCAGUCCCCAGCUACUACCCCUCUCUCUCCCAGUCAUAGCGACUACAUUCUCUUCUCUUCCAGUCCUAGCUACUACCCUUCUCUC